ACGCUGUGUCUGCGUCUGGUGACAUUUCUCUGUUUUCAGGAACAGGGAUUAGUUCUAGAAACUUCACUCGACUGUCGAACCUCGAACCUAUCUCAAGUAUUUCAUGUUAUUCGUUAAGUUGUUGCCUGUUGAUAAGCAUUGAGAGAUCUAAUAAGAUCGGUAGUAAACAAGUGGAAAAAUUUUGUAUUUAAAAAUGUUGGAAAUUACAUGUAAUGACAGGCUGGGUAAAAAAGUUAGGCCCAGACAGGAACAAGAUGGGACAAAAUUGUUUUGAAGAAGUGGUACACGACAUUCAAAGAUCACAUUCAACUUCAGGACUAUGAAAUUCAUGAUGGCAUGAAUAUCGAGUUAUAUUACCAAUAGGGAUAAUAGUUAAAAAUAAAUCUGAACCUGUAAUUAUUAAUUGUUUAUUUUGUAUUUAAAGAAUUCUUUCUGAUAUGGAAUUUAUGACAUAAUAAUAGAUAUCAUUAAGUUUGAA
Molecule: long non-coding RNA, 478 nt
Organism: Harmonia axyridis
Lineage: Eukaryota; Metazoa; Arthropoda; Insecta; Coleoptera; Coccinellidae
Exons: 3
Source: RefSeq, a predicted model, not a curated record